This 961-nucleotide ribosomal RNA is filed under the name uncultured bacterium. RNAcentral's name for it is "bacterial SSU rRNA". It matches the Rfam family "Bacterial small subunit ribosomal RNA", at positions 60 to 1015 of the family's 1533-position model. The record is from RNAcentral.
AGUCGAGGGGUAGCAUGAUUGUAGCAAUACAAUUGAUGACGACCGGCAAACGGGUGCGGAACACGUACACAACCUUCCUACAAGUGGGGAAUAGCCCAGAGAAAUUUGGAUUAAUACCCCGUAACAUAGCGAUGUGGCAUCACAUUGCUAUUAUAGCUUCGGCGCUUGUUGAUGGGUGUGCGGCUGAUUAGAUAGUUGGCGGGGUAACGGCCCACCAAGUCUACGAUCAGUAGCUGAUGUGAGAGCAUGAUCAGCCACACGGGCACUGAGACACGGGCCCGACUCCUACGGGAGGCAGCAGUAAGGAAUAUUGGACAAUGGACGCAAGUCUGAUCCAGCCAUGCCGCGUGAAGGAUUAAGGUCCUCUGGAUUGUAAACUUCUUUUAUAAGGGACGAAAAAAGGUCUUUCUAGAUCGUCUGACGGUACCUUAUGAAUAAGCACCGGCUAACUCCGUGCCAGCAACCGCGGUAAUACGGAGGGUGCAAGCGUUAUCCGGAUUCACUGGGUUUAAAGGGUGCGUAGGCGGGCAGGUAAGUCAGUGGUGAAAUCCUAGAGCUCAACUCUAGAACUGCCAUGAUACUAUCUGUCUUGAAUAUUGUGGAGGUAAGCGGAAUAUGUCAUGUAGCGGUGAAAUGCUUAGAUAUGACAUAGAACACCUAUUGCGAAGGCAGCUUACUACGCAUAUAUUGACGCUGAGGCACAAAAGCGUGGGGAUCAAACAGGAUUAGAUACCCUGNUAGUCCACGCCCUAAACGAUGGAUACUCGACAUACGCGAUACACUGUGUGUGUCUGANCGAAAGCAUUAAGUAUCCCACCUGGGAAGUACGUCCGCAAGGAUGAGACUCAAAGGGAUUGGCGGGGGUCCGCACAAGCGGUNGNNCAUGUNGUUUAAUUCGAUGAUACGCGAGGAACCUUACCUGGGCUANAAUGCAUUUUGACCGCCAGUGAAAGCUGGUUUU